AACGAACGCUGGCGGCAUGCCUAACACAUGCAAGUCGAACGAGACCUUCGGGUCUAGUGGCGCACGGGUGCGUAACGCGUUGGAACCUGCCCUUAGGUUCGGAAUAACUCCCCGAAAGGGGUGCUAAUACCGGAUAAUGUCUUCGGACCAAAGAUUUAUCGCCUUUGGAUGGGCCCGCGUUGGAUUAGCUAGUUGGUAGGGUAAAAGCCUACCAAGGCGACGAUCCAUAGCUGGUCUGAGAGGAUGAUCAGCCACACUGGGACUGAGACACGGCCCAGACUCCUACGGGAGGCAGCAGUGGGGAAUAUUGGACAAUGGGGGAAAGCCUGAUCCAGCAAUGCCGCGUGAGUGAUGAAGGCCUUAGGGUUGUAAAGCUCUUUUACCCGGGAUGAUAAUGACAGUACCGGGAGAAUAAGCUCCGGCUAACUCCGUG
Molecule: ribosomal RNA, 433 nt
Filed under: uncultured bacterium
Lineage: Bacteria
Description: partial 16S ribosomal RNA
Rfam family: Bacterial small subunit ribosomal RNA
Source: RNAcentral